GAAAUGCGAUAAGUAAUGUGAAUUGCAGAAUUCAGUGAAUCAUCGAAUCUUUGAACGCACCUUGCGCUCCUAGGUAUUCCUUGGAGCAUGCCUGUUUGAGUAUCAUGAAAUCUUCAAAGUAAAUCUUUUGUUAACUCAAUUGGUUUCUACUUUGGUAUUGGAGGUCUUUGCAGCUUCACACCUGCUCCUCUUUGUUCAUUAGCUGGAUCUCAGUGUUAUGCUUGGUUCCACUCGGCGUGAUAAGUUAUCUAUCGCUGAGGACACUGUAAAAGGUGGCCAAGGUAAAUGCAGAUGAACCGCUUCUAAUAGUCCAUUGACUUGGACAAUACUUUUAUGAUCUGAUCUCAAAUCAGGUAGGACUACCCGCUGAACUUAAGC
RNAcentral lists this unclassified non-coding RNA (378 nucleotides) under plant metagenome. Its description in RNAcentral is "partial contains 5.8S ribosomal RNA, internal transcribed spacer 2, and large subunit ribosomal RNA". The stretch from base 1 to 105 matches the Rfam family "5.8S ribosomal RNA", at positions 50 to 154 of the family's 154-position model. The record is from RNAcentral.